Molecule: ribosomal RNA, 397 nt
Filed under: uncultured bacterium
Lineage: Bacteria
Description: partial 16S ribosomal RNA
Rfam family: Bacterial small subunit ribosomal RNA
Source: RNAcentral
AUACGUAGGGGGCGAGCGUUGUCCGGAAUGAUUGGGCGUAAAGGGCGCGUAGGCGGCCCGGUAAGUCUGGAGUGAAAGUCCUGCUUUUAAGGUGGGAAUUGCUUUGGAUACUGUCGGGCUUGAGUGCAGGAGAGGUAAGUGGGAUUCCCAGUGUAGCGGUGAAAUGCGUAGAGAUUGGGAGGAACACCAGUGGCGAAGGCGACUUACUGGACUGUAACUGACGCUGAGGCGCGAAAGUGUGGGGAGCAAACAGGAUUAGAUACCCUGGUAGUCCACACUGUAAACGAUGAAUGCUAGGUGUAGGGGGUAUCGACCCCUUCUGUGCCGCAGUUAACACGAUAAGCAUUCCGCCUGGGGAGUACGGCCGCAAGGUUGAAACUCAAAUGAAUUGGCGGGG